GGCUCAGAUAGAACGCUGGCGGCAGGCCUAACACAUGCAAGUCGAGCGCGAAAGUCUUCGGAUGAGUAGAGCGGCGGACGGGUGAGUAACGCGUGGGAAUCUACCUGGUAGUGGGGGAUAACUCGGGGAAACUCGAGCUAAUACCGCAUACGUCCUGAGGGAGAAAGCGGGGGAUCGCAAGACCUCGUGCUAUCAGAUGAGCCUGCGUAGGAUUAGCUAGUUGGUAGGGUAAAGGCCUACCAAGGCGACGAUCCUUAGCUGGUCUGAGAGGAUGAUCAGCCACACUGGGACUGAGACACGGCCCAGACUCCUACGGGAGGCAGCAGUGGGGAAUAUUGGACAAUGGGGGCAACCCUGAUCCAGCCAUGCCGCGUGUGUGAAGAAGGCCUUCGGGUUGUAAAGCACUUUCAGCGGGGAGGAAGGCAUCGUGACUAAUAUUCACGGUGAUUGACGUUACCCGCAGAAGAAGCACCGGCUAACUCCGUGCCAGCAGCCGCGGUAAUAC
This 505-nucleotide ribosomal RNA is filed under the name uncultured Gammaproteobacteria bacterium. RNAcentral describes it as "bacterial SSU rRNA". It matches the Rfam family "Bacterial small subunit ribosomal RNA", at positions 21 to 526 of the family's 1533-position model. Lineage: Bacteria; Pseudomonadati; Pseudomonadota; Gammaproteobacteria. The record is from RNAcentral.